GACGAACGCUGGCGGCGUGCCUAAUACAUGCAAGUAGGACGCACAGUUUAUACCGUAGCUUGCUACACCAUAGACUGUGAGUUGCGAACGGGUGAGUAACGCGUAGGUAACCUGCCUAUUAGAGGGGGAUAACUAUUGGAAACGAUAGCUAAUACCGCAUAACAGUAUGUAACACAUGUUAGAUGCUUGAAAGAUGCAAUUGCAUCGCUAGUAGAUGGACCUGCGUUGUAUUAGCUAGUAGGUAGGGUAAAGGCCUACCUAGGCAACGAUACAUAGCCGACCUGAGAGGGGGAUCGGCCACACUGGGACUGAGACACGGCCCAGACUCCUACGGGAGGCAGCAGUAGGGAAUCUUCGGCAAUGGGGGGAACCCUGACCGAGCAACGCCGCGUGAGUGAAGAAGGUUUUCGGAUCGUAAAGCUCUGUUGUUAAGGAAGAACGAGUGUGAGAAUGGAAAGUUCAUGCUGUGACGGUACUUAACCAGAAAGGGACGGCUAACUACGUGCCAGCAGCCGCGGUAA
Molecule: ribosomal RNA, 521 nt
Filed under: uncultured bacterium
Lineage: Bacteria
Description: partial 16S ribosomal RNA
Rfam family: Bacterial small subunit ribosomal RNA
Source: RNAcentral